GUAGGGUGCAAGCGUUAAUCGGGAAUUACUGGGGGCGUAAAGCGUGCGCAGGCGGUUGUGCGAGACAGAUGUGAAAUCCCCCGGGGCUCAACCUGGGAAUUGCAUUUGUGACUGUACGGCUAGAGUGUGUCAGAGGGGGGUAGAAUUCCACGUGUAGCAGUGAAAUGCGUAGAGAUGUGGAGGAAUACCGAUGGCGAAGGCAGCCCCCUGGGAUAACACUGACGCUCAUGCACGAAAGCGUGGGGAGCAAACAGGAUUAGAUACCCUGGUAGUCCACGCCCUAAACGAUGUCAACUAGUUGUCGGGUCUUAAUUGACUUGGUAACGCAGCUAACGCGUGAAGUUGACCGCCUGGGGAGUACGGUCGCAAGAUUA
RNAcentral lists this ribosomal RNA (374 nucleotides) under uncultured organism. RNAcentral's name for it is "partial 16S ribosomal RNA". It matches the Rfam family "Bacterial small subunit ribosomal RNA", at positions 527 to 896 of the family's 1533-position model. The record is from RNAcentral.